CCGCAUGGUGUGUUGGGAAAGCCUUUGCGGCAUGGGAUGGGGUCGCGUCCUAUCAGCUUGAUGGCGGGGUAACGGCCCACCAUGGCUUCGACGGGUAGCCGGCCUGAGAGGGCGACCGGCCACAUUGGGACUGAGAUACGGCCCAGACUCCUACGGGAGGCAGCAGUGGGGAAUAUUGCACAAUGGGCGCAAGCCUGAUGCAGCGACGCCGCGUGAGGGAUGGAGGCCUUCGGGUUGUAAACCUCUUUUGUUAGGGAGCAAGGCAUUUUGUGUUGAGUGUACCUUUCGAAUAAGCACCGGCUAACUACGUGCCAGCAGCCGCGGUAAUACGUAGGGUGCAAGCGUUAUCCGGAAUUAUUGGGCGUAAAGGGCUCGUAGGCGGUUCGUCGCGUCCGGUGUGAAAGUCCAUCGCUUAACGGUGGAUCCGCGCCGGGUACGGGCGGGCUUGAGUGCGGUAGGGGAGACUGGAAUUCCCGGUGUAACGGUGGAAUGUGUAGAUAUC
This 502-nucleotide ribosomal RNA is filed under the name Bifidobacterium breve. Its description in RNAcentral is "bacterial SSU rRNA". It matches the Rfam family "Bacterial small subunit ribosomal RNA", at positions 186 to 698 of the family's 1533-position model. The record is from RNAcentral. Lineage: Bacteria; Bacillati; Actinomycetota; Actinomycetes; Bifidobacteriales; Bifidobacteriaceae.